AUGGAGAGAUAUAGGGAGCAAAAGAAGGACUUGCAUAUGGUGUUCAUUGACUUGGAGAAGGCCUAUGAUAAGAUACCGCGAAAUGUCAUGUGGUGGGCCUUGGAGAAAUACAAAGUCCCAACAAAGUACAUUACCCUCAUCAAGGACAUGUACGAUAAUGUUGUGACAAGUGUUCGAACAAGUGAUGUCGACACUGAUGACUUCCCGAUUAAGAUAGGACUGCAUCAGGGGUCAGCUUUGAGCCCUUAUCUUUUUGCAUUGGUGAUGGAUGAGGUCACAAGGGAUAUACAAGGAGAUAUCCCAUGGUGUAUGCUCUUUGCGGAUGAUGUGGUGCUAGUUGACGAUAGUCGGACGGGGCUAAAUAGGAAGUUAGAGUUAUGGAGACAAACCUUGGAAUCAAAAGGGUUUAGGCUUAGUAGAACUAAAACCGAGUACAUGAUGUGCGGUUUCGGUACUACUAGGUGUGAGGAGGAGGAGGUUAGCCUUGAUGGCCAGGUGGUACCCCAGAAGGACACCUUUCGGUAUUUGGGGUCAAUGCUGCAGGAGGAUGGGGGUAUUGAUGAAGAUGUGAACCAUCGAAUCAAAGCCUGA
This 591-nucleotide ribosomal RNA is filed under the name Triticum aestivum (bread wheat). RNAcentral describes it as "partial small subunit ribosomal RNA". Lineage: Eukaryota; Viridiplantae; Streptophyta; Magnoliopsida; Poales; Poaceae. The record is from RNAcentral.